UAAAAUAUAAAAAAAUUACAAAAACGACAAGAUUAAUUUUAUCCAAAAUCACAUCACAGAAUAUAAAAAAUAUAUGUAUAUAUAAAAAUAAAAAUUAGAAAGUCCUCACUUGGAUUUUAAGGAGGCAUAUGAAAAUUUAGAUUACACAAUGAGAGACUCUCCCAUUACCUAAUCGUCACGAGACUCCAAACAUGUGCUCUAGCAGUAAUUGAAUUUAGGAUGCCUAAGCAGCUUAGGCUAAGCUGUUAUCCUAAAUUCCUACAGACACUGCAGAUUUUGAAAUAAUAAUCAAAACAAAGUAGACUUACUUCACCCUAGUUUUGGGUGGCAAUGGCAAAGACCCCAUUUGGGGGCUAAGCAUUGGGAAAUAUUUACAACAUUAACUAUCUAGCAAGGGAUUUCCAUUAGUUGCUAUAGCUCCCAGCAAAAAAUGCCAAAGGACCAACUAUGGCAGCAUUGAUAUAUGUUGCAGGCUCUGAGUGACUAUAGUCAGAUCGAUCAUCUGAGUACCCGUCAUUCUGGUUGGGGCCGCCGACGAUGGCUCCGAUUAAGAUGUUAGGAUUAGGGUUUGCUGAAUAGUAGAAGGGCUGGAAACCUCCAUCACAACCUAUAGCUUGUGGGUGUCUUGCUAGAGAUGGCAAUGAAGAUCCCCUGUGGUGAAUUCUCUUUGGAUAAUAUGGCCCAAAUCCUACCAUAUAUGACAUUUUUAUUGGGUUCACCCCAAGGAUGUAGUCCACCUGUCUUUUUGCUACAUAUAAGAUGGAAUUAGGGGUGACAAAGAGAUUGCCACAGUUGAAGGUGUGCUUUGUUGCUCUCAUGUACUUGGCAUAUGUCGUGAGCAAAAAUGUUAUGGAUGUUACAUAUUGAAGGUUACUUUCAGGUAGCUUGUACAUGAGUCCCCCUUGUGUGUAUUGUGUAGAACUAGAGGGAGAGUUGGGUAAGAUCUUGCAUAUGAAAUUUUCAGCUUCUUCUUUGUACUGCUCAAAAUUCUUGUCAUUGUUGAGCAGAGCCCUCCUUGACAAGAGCACAUGAGCGCCAGCAUACUUAUUGUCCCAGCUGAAAAGGUCUGGUUGGUCAUCAGCUCCCAAGGAUUUCAACAGAUUGUAGUAGUACAUUUGAUUUGUUGCCCUGAACAGCCAUGCCGCUCCCCAUAGCAGCUCAUCCUUAUAGCCAGAAUAUGAGCAAUAAAAAGGGCAAACAGCUGAUCCAAGUGAAUCACUAUAAGCACCCUGAUAUUGCAAUGCAAAUUGCAUAACCUUCUUAGCAGUGCUCAAUAGCAACCUGGAGUAUGCUGGAUCAGCUCUCCGAAAAACCAUGGAAGCAGCAGCUAGAGCAGCAGCAGUUUCACCUGCAACAUCAGAGCCAGGGUUGCUUGGAGACACCGCGUACACUGUACGGACAGUGUCCAUGUCCUCAGGCCUCUCCCAGCAUUUAUGA
This 1437-nucleotide unclassified non-coding RNA is filed under the name Hevea brasiliensis (rubber tree). The record is from RNAcentral. Lineage: Eukaryota; Viridiplantae; Streptophyta; Magnoliopsida; Malpighiales; Euphorbiaceae.